GACGAACGCUGGCGGCGUGCCUAAUACAUGCAAGUCGAACGAACCGCGACUGAGUGCUUGCACUUGGUCAAGGUGAGUGGCGAACGGGUGAGUAACACGUGGGUAACCUACCUCAUAGUGGUGGAUAACAGUCGGAAACGACUGCUAAUACCGCAUAGGACAUGGAAUCACAUCAUUCUGUGAGGAAAGGUGGCGCAAGCUAUCGCUAAGAGAUGGACCCGCGGUGCAUUAGCUAGUUGGUAGGGUAAGGGCCUACCAAGGCGAUGAUGCAUAGCCGACCUGAGAGGGUGAUCGGCCACAUUGGGACUGAGACACGGCCCAGACUCCUACGGGAGGCAGCAGUAGGGAAUCUUCCGCAAAGGACGAAAGUCUGACGGAGCAACGCCGCGUGAGUGAAGAAGGUCUUCGGAUCGUAAAGCUCUGUUGUUAGAGAAGAACAGAGCAUAGAGUAACUGUUAUGCGUGUGACGGUAUCUAACCAGAAAGCCACGGCUAACUACGUG
Molecule: ribosomal RNA, 502 nt
Filed under: uncultured bacterium
Lineage: Bacteria
Description: partial 16S ribosomal RNA
Rfam family: Bacterial small subunit ribosomal RNA
Source: RNAcentral